This 332-nucleotide unclassified non-coding RNA is filed under the name soil metagenome. Its description in RNAcentral is "partial contains 5.8S ribosomal RNA, internal transcribed spacer 2, and large subunit ribosomal RNA". The stretch from base 2 to 119 matches the Rfam family "5.8S ribosomal RNA", at positions 37 to 154 of the family's 154-position model. The record is from RNAcentral.
GUGAAGAACGCAGCGAAAUGCGAUAAGUAAUGUGAAUUGCAGAAUUCAGUGAAUCAUCGAAUCUUUGAACGCACAUUGCGCCCGCCAGUAUUCUGGCGAGCAUGCCUGUUCGAGCGUCAUUUCAACCAUCAAGCCCCAGGCUUGUGUUGGAGCCCUGCGGCUGCCGCAGCCUCCCAAAACCAGUGGCGGGCUCGCUAUCACACCGAGUGCAGUAGUUUACUCUUCGCUCAGGGCGUGUGGCGGGUGCUAGCCGUGAAACCCCCAACUUCUCAAGGUUGACCUCGGAUCAGGUAGGAAUACCCGCUGAACUUAAGCAUAUCAAUAAGCGGAGG